This 476-nucleotide ribosomal RNA is filed under the name uncultured bacterium. RNAcentral describes it as "partial 16S ribosomal RNA". It matches the Rfam family "Bacterial small subunit ribosomal RNA", at positions 28 to 494 of the family's 1533-position model. The record is from RNAcentral.
GAUGAACGCUGGCGGCGUGCCUAACACAUGCGAGUCGAACGAAGCACCUUACCUGAUUCUUCGGAUGAAAGUUUGGUGACUGAGUGGCGGACGGGUGAGUAACGCGUGGGUAACCUGCCCUGUACAGGGGGAUAACAGCUGGAAACGGCUGCUAAUACCGCAUAAGCGCACGAGGAGACAUCUCCUUGUGUGAAAAACUCCGGUGGUACAGGAUGGGCCCGCGUCUGAUUAGCUGGUUGGCAGGGUAACGGCCUACCAAGGCAACGACCAGUAGCCGGUCAGAGGGGAAGAACGGCCAGAUUGGGACAAGGAACGGACCCAAACCACUGGCAGAGGAGGCAUGGGGGAAAAAUGAACAAAGGGGAAAACCCUAAUGCCGCAUGACCGAGUGAGGUAAGAGGUAUUUAUGUAAAUAAGGCUAAGAAACCAGGAGAGCCAUAACGGGAACCGAUGUAGGAGACCCCGGCAAAAGGCGU